RNAcentral lists this ribosomal RNA (515 nucleotides) under uncultured Entrophospora. Its description in RNAcentral is "SSU rRNA". It matches the Rfam family "Eukaryotic small subunit ribosomal RNA", at positions 569 to 1083 of the family's 1831-position model. Lineage: Eukaryota; Fungi; Glomeromycota; Glomeromycetes; Entrophosporales; Entrophosporaceae. The record is from RNAcentral.
AGCAGCCGCCGUAAUUCCAGCUCCAAUAGCGUAUAUUAAAGUUGUUGCAGUUAAAAAGCUCGUAGUUGAAUUUCGGGAUUGACGUGAUGGUCGUGCCUUACGGGGUAUGAACUGUCGCUGUUGAUUUCUCACCUUCUGGAGAAACUUGAUGUCCUUAAUUGGGUGUCUUGCGGAUCCAGGACCUUUACCUUGAAAAAUUAGAGUGUUUAAAGCAGGCAUUUUGCUCGAAUACAUUAGCAUGGAAUAAUAGAAUAGGACGGCAUGGUUCUAUUUUGUUGGUUUCUAGGAUCACCGUAAUGAUUAAUAGGGAUAGUUGGGGGCAUUAGUAUUCAAUUGUCAGAGGUGAAAUUCUUGGAUUUAUUGAAGACUGACUACUGCGAAAGCAUUUGCCAAGGAUGUUUUCAUUAAUCAAGAACGAAAGUUAGGGGAUCGAAGACGAUCAGAUACCGUCGUAGUCUUAACCAUAAACUAUAGCCGACUAGGAAUCAGACGAUGUUAAUUUUUAAUGACUUCGG